UAGUCCUACGGGAGGCAGCAGUGGGGAAUAUUGCACAAUGGGCGAAAGCCUGAUGCAGCAACGCCGCGUGAGGGAUGACGGCCUUCGGGUUGUAAACCUCUUUUAGCAGGGAAGAAGCGAAAGUGACGGUACCUGCAGAAAAAGCGCCGGCUAACUACGUG
Molecule: ribosomal RNA, 161 nt
Filed under: Caryophanales bacterium T1S023
Lineage: Bacteria; Bacillati; Bacillota; Bacilli; Caryophanales
Description: partial 16S rRNA
Rfam family: Bacterial small subunit ribosomal RNA
Source: RNAcentral